Molecule: ribosomal RNA, 372 nt
Filed under: uncultured organism
Description: bacterial SSU rRNA
Rfam family: Bacterial small subunit ribosomal RNA
Source: RNAcentral
CAGAGGGUGCAAGCGUUGUUCGGAAUUAUUGGGCGUAAAGCGCGUGUAGGCGGCUUGGCAAGUCGGGUGUGAAAUCCCUCAGCUCAACUGAGGAAGUGCGCCCGAAACUGCUUUGCUUGAGUGUCGGAGAGGAUGGCGGAAUUCCCCAAGUAGAGGUGAAAUUCGUAGAUGUGGGGAGGAACACCGGUGGCGAAGGCGGCCAUCUGGACGACAACUGACGCUGAGACGCGAAAGCGUGGGUAGCAAACAGGAUUAGAUACCCUGGUAGUCCACGCCGUAAACGAUGAGAACUAGGUGUCGUGGGUGUUGACCCCCGCGGUGCCGUAGCUAACGCAUUAAGUUCUCCGCCUGGGAAGUACGGCCGCAAGGCUA